CACAGAGGUAAUUGUGACUUUCACAACACAUGCAAAUGUGAGGACUUUACCCAUGCACAGCACUGGGGGACACCAGCACUAGGGAGCCAUAGAGGAAGGAUGACAUGAAAGGAAUUACUAGAAUGGUAACAGGUAUUGAACAGCUGAAAUAUUUAUUUCAACUGCCACACCAACUCUUGCAACAGCUCUGUUUCCAACAGAGUCCAUUACCUACCUAUAUCAGGAGUCAUAACAGUACAGAAAUUAUAGGGACCUGCAUCAGCUAAAGGGGAUGGAACGGAGGUGAGUGGAGUGAAGACACCACAGCCAGGCUCUGCUGAAAUCCCUGCAGGGAGAGGAGCUCAAUGGCACUUUGCAGCUGAUAAACCACACAACACCUGUCAGCCAGGGGAGACAGGAGAAGAUGUCCUGCUGCUGAGCCAACACCUGUGGCAAAAUCGCUCUCCUCAGACAAACUUAUUGGCUCAUUACAGCCUCGUUGUAAUACUAACACACAUCUCCAUCCCAAAGUUACCUGUCUCCAAGUCAUUAUCACUCCUUACCAGGCAUGUGCUGUAUAUUCUUUUUGGCUGUAUCAUUAAAAGCAAAGUGAAACAGUAUUACAAGUGAGACAAUCAGUACCAAAGAUAUGUAUGCCUAGAGUCACUCAGGUUCCACCUAAACACAGAGAAAUAGUAUAAAAUUUGGGAAUGGGGGAAUGGUUAAGGAAGACUCCACUGUAACUGCUGGGGCCAGUUGAUGGGCUGAACCUGUUUUCUCCCCCAUAGCCUUUUGGGAAUCAUACUCUGCGCAGGCUGAAUAUCUCAUUGUGGAUUACAGCUUUUCUAUACAUUGCUUUGAAUAUAUUUUUGCAAUCAGAAACUAUCACCAAUUAUCCUUGAAUCUCAACCUGCCACAAUUUUAUAUUAAGAAGGGGUGUUAUUCCAUAUACUGUUAGUGUGAGCUCUUCAUGGACACUGACAGUUGCUGGCAGCAAAUACCAUACUCAAAUAAAGAGGAAGCCCUGCUGAGGGUUCUCCCUUACUCUCAGGGCAGAGUCUCCCCACCAGGAUGCUGACACUGGUUGGCUGCAAGGGUCUCAGUUUAUCUUGAGGCAUUGACAGACAAAUUAAACACUAAGGGUCAAGGGAACCUCCCCUCCUCACAUGACAAAAUAUGAAGUGAAACUUACAUACUGAAAUGAAUUUACACACAUAAUUAACUACUCCUCAGAACAAUUAUGUCUGUAUUUUUUUUAUCUUUAUCAGUAUUUAAUUAAUUAGCUCAGAUUUUAACAUUACUCAGCUUUCAUAUAUUCACCUUCAAAUAUUUCUUAAAGAUGUGUCCUCAAGACUAACCUAAUUAUUGAUUGGUACUCAGAAACUGGCAAGUAUCAACUCCCCCUUUGUAGUGUUUGUCUCCCUUACUCAUCUCACUCUUACAAUUAAAAAUGUUCUUUAAUCUUCUUCAAAACAAAACAAAAUUAUAUAAACAAGAACUAAAAUGUAUAAACAAAACACUAAAUAUACACAGAACUGUUUCUGUUUAUCCUCAUACCUGCCUUCAUAUUUAUACUCUCAUCAUCUAGACCUUAUUUAAUUUUUAUCUUUUGAACCUAUUGCCACACAACAGAGGACAAUUUAUCAUCCAACUCUUGGAGUUACAAAGCUUUUAUUGCAGUUCUCACUCACUAUCAUGAUAUGAACAUUUAGUAUUAGCAUUUCUUUAAUGAUUGAACAGCAAACUAGUCUCCAAUCAUAUAGAGUACUUUGUUAUCCAGAGUUCUCAAUACAGCAACUUAAGUAAAAAGUUAACAAUCAGUAAAUUAAUUAAUCAAUAACAAGUAAUCAACACAUUAGAUUAACAAUUAAAGUAAAUAUUUUCUUUCUCCCUUAAUAUCUUAGGCACAUGAAUACCAUAGGCAUGCAAAGGCAAUAAAAGUUUAUUAUUAAUAUUCAUGGUUGAAGGGAAUUAGAAAGCAAAUGAAUGAAAGACAUGAAGUGUUUUCAUUGUUCCUGCUCCAAGUCACUGCAGAAUUUCACUUUCUAUCUUAUUUAUUAAGCAAAAGACCAAUUACUCUGAUGUUAAAGGAAUAUACCAAGGAGGAAAAUGACCAAUGUACUAAAGUAUUUAAUGUUGUUUUCCUGUAGAUACAAUUUUCAUUUAAGUUUUGCUAUCACAUUUCUUUAAUAAAUAAAUAAGUAAUUAAGCAAGGCAGACUUUGUGGAAUCACUGUAGCAAUUAAAACUCUUUUUCCUGUCAUCUUUAACAAUAAAAGUUUAUAGCAGCACAAAUGCCAAUUCAGUCUUAUCACGCCUUUGGAAACCUGUGCUUCCUGACUUCAGAGAAGUGUAAUAAAUGGAUGGUUAUUAUAUUUUCUUCAUUUUUAGUAGAUCCUAGAUAUUAAUGCUAGUAGAAAUCAAAAGAUCAUCUUGUCUGACCUGCUUUAUAUCAUAAAGCAUUACCUUUUAUAUAGGUACCUUAUU
Long non-coding RNA from Passer domesticus (house sparrow), 2465 nucleotides. RefSeq lists it as uncharacterized. The record is from RefSeq and is a predicted model, not a curated record. The transcript is spliced from 3 exons. Lineage: Eukaryota; Metazoa; Chordata; Aves; Passeriformes; Passeridae.